ACAAACUCAAAUCUUACUCCCAAAUCACUCAAAAUCGCAGCUGAAAUCACAAAUUCGAGCAGAUUGUGCAGCCUUCACUAAAGUGAGCAUAACUCACUCAUUUCUUAUCCGAUUUGGUUGAUUCUUUUUCCUAUGUGCUUGGAUUGACCUUAACUUCGAUUCCAUGGGUUUUUCACAGUAAAUAAGUCCCUGGAACUCCGGCAAAAAGGCUCCAAAGUUCACUGUUUGUUUCUAUUUUGAUUAAACCUUUACUAAAACUUGUUCAACUUGAGUCUAACUCAUCUCAAACCUAUGUCCUUAUGCUUAUAACCACUUCUAUGGUUAGUUAGGCUUAAAAACAAGGUUGAGACAUUCAAAAUCAGAGGUUAAACCUCAUAUACAUUCUGUUUUGUUUAGGGUUUUUAACCCACAAGUGAUGUUCAAGCUUAAAGCUUGAUGAAGAUGUGAUUAUGGACUAACUUGGGUUGUCCAACAUAGAAUCCCCACAUUACUUGAUGAUUUCUCAUAGUGUAGUUGUUCUUAUUCUUGUAUUGAUAUUAGUUCAUGACCCUCCUUGUAUGUUUUUACAUCAAGUGUAGUGGUGAACCAUAAGAGGUACCUAAAUGGAAGUUUGUUCUUCCUACCUCCUACAUGAAUUCUAUGACACAAUAGAGGUACCUAAAUGAAGAUUUAUCUUCUACCUCAUACUUGACUAAUGGACUAAAUAAUACAUAAUACUUAUACAUAUAUAUACUAUUCGAACCCUUGAUGGUGGACUUGUGUUCAUUCGUCAAGAUAUUAGAAUAACAUCAUCUAAGACAUAAGACUUGUUACGAUUCUAAUGAGUAUAUUACUCAUGAAAACAUUAACCCUUGAGGUUUCAUAGUGUCAAGAACAAGUACUUGGUGUUAAAGGAUGAUUACUUUCGAAUACCUAUAUUCUUACGUUUUAACUUCCUAAAUCCCUACACGAACAUAUUCAACCUUCUAACCUUAUCAAUUUCGUCACAUUGGAUAAUCGGAAAGCAUAUGCAAAUUUGUUGAGGACGAUGAUGCUAUGAAAUGAAGUAGCGUUGAUGCCUAGAUACACAUAUAGACGUUAGGGUUUAAAAUGUUGUAUCAAAAUUUUGUUAUGUUAUCAUGUUGUUUUGUUAAACUUGUCGUAUUUGAAUUUCUUGUAAUGUUGACUAUUUGAAGUUAUGAAAUGAAAUGAAAUUUGGAUU
Molecule: long non-coding RNA, 1201 nt
Filed under: Helianthus annuus (common sunflower)
Lineage: Eukaryota; Viridiplantae; Streptophyta; Magnoliopsida; Asterales; Asteraceae
Description: hypothetical non coding rna
Source: RNAcentral